RNAcentral lists this ribosomal RNA (401 nucleotides) under uncultured bacterium. Its description in RNAcentral is "bacterial SSU rRNA". It matches the Rfam family "Bacterial small subunit ribosomal RNA", at positions 354 to 769 of the family's 1533-position model. The record is from RNAcentral.
UGGGGGAAUAUUGGGCAAUGGAGGAAACUCUGACCCAGCAACGCCGCGUGAAGGAAGAAGGCCCUCUGGGUUGUAAACUUCUGUUGUAUAGGAAAAAGAAGUGAUGGUACUAUACGAGUAAGCUACGGCAAACUACGUGCCAGCAGCCGCGGUAAUACGUAGGUGGCAAGCGUUGUCCGGAAUGACUGGGCGUAAAGGGAGUCUAGGUGGCUGAGUAAGUCAACUGUGAAAGCCUAUGGCUUAACCAUAGAAGAGCAGUUGAUACUGUUUAGCUGGAGUGCAGGAGAGGUAAUGGGAAUUCCUAGUGUAGCGGUAAAAUGCAUAGAGAUUAGGAGGAACACCAGAGGCGAAGGCGCAUUACUGGACUGUAACUGACACUGAAGCUCGAAAGCGUGGGUAGC